Myotis brandtii (Brandt's bat) is the source of this 437-nucleotide long non-coding RNA. RefSeq lists it as uncharacterized. Lineage: Eukaryota; Metazoa; Chordata; Mammalia; Chiroptera; Vespertilionidae. The record is from RefSeq and is a predicted model, not a curated record. The transcript is spliced from 3 exons.
GUGGAAGCAAAGGGGAGAGACAGAAAGAAACAUUGAUGUGAGACACAUUGAUUGGUUGCCUCCUGCACACUCCCGGACCCUGGCUGAGGAUCGAGCUUGCAAAGGACGUUUGUGCCCUUGACCAGAAUAGAACUGUGACCCUUCAGUCUGAGGGCCAAUGCUGUAACCACUGGGCAACCGGCUAGGGCUAAAGCAAGCCAUUAUAGAGGCAGCGUGCACUCGGAGCAGCAAGAGUGUCACCACCAAACUCCCUCCCCAGGACCGACACCCAGCAUUUCAGCACCAGGCACCAGAGCUUCGAGCUGCGUCUAAUCUUGAAAGCUGUUGAAGUUACUGUUGGUUCUGCUAGUAGUAAAGGAGUCUCUUUAAGUUGGCAUCCAGUAAUGGAUAAGAUGGAGUCUAUUGCUUGAGUGGAUUGAUGGGUGUUUAAAGCAUGG